RNAcentral lists this ribosomal RNA (253 nucleotides) under uncultured bacterium. Its description in RNAcentral is "partial 16S ribosomal RNA". It matches the Rfam family "Bacterial small subunit ribosomal RNA", at positions 524 to 776 of the family's 1533-position model. The record is from RNAcentral.
UACGUAGGGGGCAAGCGUUGUCCGGAAUCAUUGGGCGUAAAGAGCGUGUAGGCGGCUCGGUAAGUCCGCUGUAAAAGUCCAGGGCUCAACCCUGGAAAGCCGGUGGAUACUGUCGGGCUCGAGUCCGGAAGAGGCGAGUGGAAUUCCUGGUGUAGCGGUGAAAUGCGCAGAUAUCAGGAGGAACACCAAUGGCGAAGGCAGCUCGCUGGGACGGUACUGACGCUGAGACGCGAAAGCGUGGGGAGCAAACAGG